GAAUUAGGGUUCGAUUCCGGAGAGCGAGCCUGAGAAACGGCUAGCACAUCCAAGGAAGGCAGCAGGCGCGCAAAUUACCCAAUCCCGACACGGGGAGGUAGUGACAAUAAAUACUGAUACAGGGCUCUUUUGGGUCUUGUAAUUGGAAUGAGUACAAUUUAAACCUCUUAACGAGGAACAAUUGGAGGGCAAGUCUGGUGCCAGCAGCCGCGGU
This 214-nucleotide ribosomal RNA is filed under the name Pycnococcus provasolii. RNAcentral's name for it is "partial Eukaryotic small subunit ribosomal RNA". It matches the Rfam family "Eukaryotic small subunit ribosomal RNA", at positions 367 to 580 of the family's 1831-position model. Lineage: Eukaryota; Viridiplantae; Chlorophyta; Pseudoscourfieldiophyceae; Pseudoscourfieldiales; Pycnococcaceae. The record is from RNAcentral.